AGUGAACGCUGGCGGUAGGCCUAACACAUGCAAGUCGAACGGCAGCACAGUAAGAGCCUGCUCUUACGGGUGGCGAGUGGCGGACGGGUGAGGAAUACAUCGGAAUCUACUUUUUCGUGGGGGAUAACGUAGGGAAACUUACGCUAAUACCGCAUACGACCUACGGGUGAAAGCAGGGGAUCUUCGGACCUUGCGCGAUUGAAUGAGCCGAUGUCGGAUUAGCUAGUUGGCGGGGUAAAGGCCCACCAAGGCGACGAUCCGUAGCUGGUCUGAGAGGAUGGUCAGCCACACUGGAACUGAGACACGGUCCAGACUCCUACGGGAGGCAGCAGUGGGGAAUAUUGGACAAUGGGCGCAAGCCUGAUCCAGCCAUACCGCAUGGGUGAAGAAGGCCUUCGGGUUGUAAAGCCCUUUUGUUGGGAAAGAAAAGCAGCAGGUUAAUACCCCGCUGUUCUGACGGUACCCAAAGAAUAAGCACCGGCUAACUUCGUG
This 492-nucleotide ribosomal RNA is filed under the name uncultured bacterium. RNAcentral describes it as "partial 16S ribosomal RNA". It matches the Rfam family "Bacterial small subunit ribosomal RNA", at positions 29 to 507 of the family's 1533-position model. The record is from RNAcentral.